AACGCCGCGUGAAGGAUGAAGGUUUUCGGAUUGUAAACUUCUUUGAUUGGGGACGAAUAAUGACGGUACCCAAAAAACAAGCCACGGCUAACUACGUGCCAGCAGCCGCGGUAAUACGUAGGUGGCAAGCGUUGUCCGGAGUUACUGGGUGUAAAGGGCGUGUAGGCGGGAAGAUAAGUCAGAUGUGAAAUUCCAUGGCUCAACUGUGGCGCUGCAUCUGAAACUAUUUUUCUUGAGUGAUGGAGAGGAAAGUGGAAUUCCUAGUGUAGCGGUGAAAUGCGUAGAUAUUAGGAGGAACACCAGUGGCGAAGGCGACUUUCUGGACAUUAACUGACGCUGAGGCGCGAAAGCGUGGGGAGCAAACAGGAUUAGAUACCCUGGUAGUCCACGCUGUAAACGAUGGAUACUAGGUGUAGGAGGUAUCGACCCCUUCUGUGCCGGAGUUAACACAAUAAGUAUCCCACCUGGGGAGUACGGCCGCAAGG
This 485-nucleotide ribosomal RNA is filed under the name uncultured bacterium. Its description in RNAcentral is "bacterial SSU rRNA". It matches the Rfam family "Bacterial small subunit ribosomal RNA", at positions 393 to 893 of the family's 1533-position model. The record is from RNAcentral.